CUAAAUUAAAUAUUUAAUGGCAAUAAUAUCGCAAUUUGGAUUUGAUUUCAACACGGUCGGCGAGGAACAAAAAUUUCGAGAUUGAAAUUAAUUAUUUUGAACAUUGAAGCAAUCGAGGUUUUUCCUUUAUUCGCAAUUUGGCAAUGGUUUCAACACGGUGAGGGACAAUAAGAUCGAGAUUAAAAUUAUUAUUUUGAAUAUUGAAGCAUACGCGGAUUUUCCUGUUAUCGCAAUUUGAAAUUGAUUUCAACACGGUCGGUGAGGAACAAAAAUUUCGAGAUUGAAAUUAAUUAUUUUGAACAUUGAAGCAAUCGAGGUUUUUCCUUUAUUCGCAAUUUGGCAAUGGUUUCAACACGGUGAGGGACAAUAAGAUCGAAAUUGAAAUUAUUAUUUUGAAUAUUGAAGCAAUUACGGUUUUUCCUGUGUUAGCAGUGGUAAGGAGAUAGUAACAGGUAUACAUCGUGAAAGUAAAAUUAAAUAUCCCGGUAAGAAUUACUCUUUUAUUGAUUUUCAGUA
Leptopilina heterotoma is the source of this 516-nucleotide long non-coding RNA. RefSeq lists it as uncharacterized. The record is from RefSeq and is a predicted model, not a curated record. Lineage: Eukaryota; Metazoa; Arthropoda; Insecta; Hymenoptera; Figitidae. The transcript has 5 exons.